AGUCGAGGGGUAUAGUAGCAAUACUAGAGACCGGCGCACGGGUGCGUAACGCGUAUGCAAUCUACCUUUUGCAGAGGGAUAGCCCAGAGAAAUUUGGAUUAAUACCUCAUAGUAUAACGACUCGGCAUCGAGAUGUUAUUAAAGUCACAACGGCAAAAGAUGAGCAUGCGUCCCAUUAGUUAGUUGGUAAGGUAACGGCUUACCAAGACUACGAUGGGUAGGGGUCCUGAGAGGGAGAUCCCCCGCACUGGUACUGAGACACGGACCAGACUCCUACGGGAGGCAGCAGUGAGGAAUAUUGGACAAUGGGCGCAAGCCUGAUCCAGCCAUGCCGCGUGCAGGAUGACGGUCCUAUGGAUUGUAAACUGCUUUUGCACAGGAAGAAACAACGCUACGUGUAGCGUCUUGACGGUACUGUGAGAAUAAGGAUCGGCUAACUCCGUGCCAGCAGCCGCGGUAAUACGGAGGAUCCAAGCGUUAUCCGGAAUCAUUGGGUUUAAAGGGUCCGUAGGCGGUCUUAUAAGUCAGUGGUGAAAUCUCCCCGCUCAACGGGGAAACGGCCAUUGAUACUGUAGGACUUGAAUUAUUAGGAAGUAACUAGAAUAUGUAGUGUAGCGGUGAAAUGCUUAGAGAUUACAUGGAAUACCAAUUGCGAAGGCAGGUUACUACUAAUGGAUUGACGCUGAUGGACGAAAGCGUGGGUAGCGAACAGGAUUAGAUACCCUGGUAGUCCACGCCGUAAACGAUGGAUACUAGCUGUUGGGCGCAAGUUCAGUGGCUAAGCGAAAGUGAUAAGUAUCCCACCUGGGGA
This 811-nucleotide ribosomal RNA is filed under the name uncultured bacterium. Its description in RNAcentral is "bacterial SSU rRNA". It matches the Rfam family "Bacterial small subunit ribosomal RNA", at positions 60 to 879 of the family's 1533-position model. The record is from RNAcentral.